RNAcentral lists this ribosomal RNA (460 nucleotides) under uncultured bacterium. Its description in RNAcentral is "partial 16S ribosomal RNA". It matches the Rfam family "Bacterial small subunit ribosomal RNA", at positions 338 to 795 of the family's 1533-position model. The record is from RNAcentral.
CCUACGGGAGGCUGCAGUGAGGAAUAUUGGUCAAUGGACGCAAGUCUGAACCAGCCAUGCCGCGUGCAGGAAGACGGCUCUAUGAGUUGUAAACUGCUUUUGUACGAGGGUAAAUCCCGAUACGUGUAUUGGGUUGCAAGUAUCGUACGAAUAAGGAUCGGCUAAGUCCGUGCCAGCAGCCGCGGUAAUACGGAGGAUUCAAGCGUUAUCCGGAUUUAUUGGGUUUAAAGGGUGCGUAGGCGGUUCGAUAAGUUAGAGGUGAAAGCCCGGGGCUCAACGCCGGCACUGCCUCGGAUACUGUCGGGCUAGAGUUUAGUUGCGGUAGGCGGAAUGUAUGGUGUAGCGGUGAAAUGCAUAGAGAUCAUACAGAACACCGAUUGCGAAGGCAGCUUACCAAACUACGACUGACGUUGAGGCACGAAAGCGUGGGGAGCAAACAGGAUUAGAUACCCGUGUAGUC